This 315-nucleotide ribosomal RNA is filed under the name uncultured bacterium. RNAcentral's name for it is "bacterial SSU rRNA". It matches the Rfam family "Bacterial small subunit ribosomal RNA", at positions 794 to 1104 of the family's 1533-position model. The record is from RNAcentral.
UCCUAGCUGUAAACGAUCUGUACUAGUCCGUGGGGGCUCCCACACCUUCUCGGACGUAGCGAAAGUGUUAAGUACAGCGCCUGGGGAGUAUGGUCGCAAGGCUGAAACUCAAAGGAAUUGGCGGGGGCUCACACAAGCGGUGGAGGAUGUGGCUUAAUUCGAGGCUACGCGAAGAACCUUACCUAGGCUUAACAUGUUUGAGAGCGUCUGUGAAAGCAGAAAGUGCCCUUCGGGGAACUCUUACGUAGGUGCUGCAUGGCUGUCGUCAGCUCGUGUCGUGAGAUGUCGGGCUAAGUCCCUUAACGAGCGAAACCC